CAAAAGAUAAGCUAAGGUUAAGCUAAUGGGUUCAUACCUCAUUUAUGGAUACACUCCUCUUUUUA
RNAcentral lists this transfer RNA (65 nucleotides) under Mendozana platypleura. Its description in RNAcentral is "tRNA-Met". The record is from RNAcentral. Lineage: Eukaryota; Metazoa; Arthropoda; Insecta; Hemiptera; Cicadidae.